This is a non-coding RNA of Pelobates cultripes (western spadefoot toad), 450 nucleotides long. Lineage: Eukaryota; Metazoa; Chordata; Amphibia; Anura; Pelobatidae. The record is from the annotation of a GenBank genome assembly.
CUUCAAAUUGUAAUAUCCACUUGCUAGCAGGCUUUUAAUAUUAUAAAGCUUAUCUCUAUAAUUUAAAGGGACACUUUAGUCACCAGAACGACUACAGCUUAAUGUAGUUGUUCUGGUGAGUAUAAUCAUUGCCUUCAGGCAUUUUCAUGCAAUAACUGCUUCUUCAGAGCAAAGGCAGUGUUUACAUUGCCCCCUAGGGACACCUCCAAGUGGCCACUGGAGGUGCUUCCUGGCUCAGUGCUGCACAGUAGGCAGCUCUGCCGUUGACGCUGGAUUUUCCUCAUAGAGAAGCAUUGAUUCAAUGUAUCUCUAUGAGGAGGUGCUGAUUGUCCAAACCUGUGUUUGGCCCCGCCCCCUUACCGAUUUUAGACAAUCCCAUGCUUUCCCCAUGAUGUCACCAAGGGGGCGGGGCCCAUGCCGGCGGACCCACAUGGCGCUGGAAAUAAGGUG